GAAGUUUUCAGAGAUGAGAAUGUGCCUUCGGGAACCGUGAGACAGGUGCUGCAUGGCUGUCGUCAGCUCGUGUUGUGAAAUGUUGGGUUAAGUCCCGCAACGAGCGCAACCCUUAUCCUUUGUUGCCAGCGGUCCGGCCGGGAACUCAAAGGAGACUGCCAGUGAUAAACUGGAGGAAGGUGGGGAUGACGUCAAGUCAUCAUGGCCCUUACGACCAGGGCUACACACGUGCUACAAUGGCGCAUACAAAGAGAAGCGACCUCGCGAGAGCAAGCGGACCUCAUAAAGUGCGUCGUAGUCCGGAUUGGAGUCUGCAACUCGACUCCAUGAAGUCGGAAUCGCUAGUAAUCGUGGAUCAGAAUGCCACGGUGAAUACGUUCCCGGGCCUUGUACACACCGCCCGUCACACCAUGGGAGUGGGUUGCAAAAGAAGUAGG
Molecule: ribosomal RNA, 437 nt
Filed under: Escherichia coli
Lineage: Bacteria; Pseudomonadati; Pseudomonadota; Gammaproteobacteria; Enterobacterales; Enterobacteriaceae
Description: bacterial SSU rRNA
Rfam family: Bacterial small subunit ribosomal RNA
Source: RNAcentral